This 521-nucleotide unclassified non-coding RNA is filed under the name Hevea brasiliensis (rubber tree). The record is from RNAcentral. Lineage: Eukaryota; Viridiplantae; Streptophyta; Magnoliopsida; Malpighiales; Euphorbiaceae.
GGUUAGCACAAGAAAAUGUCAAGCUUUUAUCAGCUCUAAACGACUAAACCACCCUAUCUGAAUGAAUGAAUCCAUCAACCAGUCGCGUAAGUGAGGAUCAAACAAAAUCUAACAGAUCGAAAUUUAACUUUUUGCAUUACAAGAAGGAACACUGAUGGACCAAAUCUUGCCCCUUCUCAUUUUAUGUGGCAAACACAACAAAUGCUGAUAAAACCACAAUUGCUAGCACUAGUUUGUUCGUCCUCCGAGGAAUUGCAGACAAGAGUCAUGGAUAACAAACAACAAUUUGGAAGGUAUGAUCAGCUCUGCACAGUCAUUCAUUGACAACUCAAUUACUGGAGAGAUUCAUCAACAAGUCAUUUCUCCCAUUCAUCACAGUUCGAUACAAAAUUUUCUAACUUGAUGAACGGCAGACAUUACACGUUUUGUCCAUCAACCUCCUAGAAGUGUUCAGGGGCAGUACAGGCAUCUAGUGAAAGUAACCAAGAACCUGACCACCCACAUUCCGACCAAUUGCUUCU